This 28528-nucleotide long non-coding RNA is filed under the name Solanum tuberosum (potato). Its description in RNAcentral is "long non-coding RNA (STUB_LNC007818)". Lineage: Eukaryota; Viridiplantae; Streptophyta; Magnoliopsida; Solanales; Solanaceae. The record is from RNAcentral.
CUCUUUUUUCUUGUAUAAAUUAUUUAAAUAUUUAAAAUUAUAAUUUUCGAAAUUUGGAGCCCCCCCCCCCCCCCCCCCCCCUCAAACCAAAGGGCACNNNNNNNNNNNNNNNNNNNNNNNNNNNNNNNNNNNNNNNNNNNNNNNNNNNNNNNNNNNNNNNNNNNNNNNNNNNNNNNNNNNNNNNNNNNNNNNNNNNNNNNNNNNCCGCCCCCCCCCCCCCCCCACGCAUUAGCAAGUGAAGGAGCUAAUGUGUUGGAGAGUCUCAUCAAUGUUUGUAUCGAAUAAAUUAAAGAUAGAAAAAAUAUGAAUUUUUUUUAUUAGGUAUAUCGGACUCUUCUUUUAUAUUAGAUAAUUGUAAUUGUAAUAUUAUUAAUACCUCUCCUCUCCCUAUUAGUAGACACCCAGCGUUAUCACUACUAUGUAAUGCUCAUAUUAAGUAAUUAAUAUAAUAUCUUGUUAACCAAAAAUAAUAAUAAUGGAACAAAUUGGGUGUUGAGGAACAAAAACAACCUAGAAUUAAAUAAUUUAAGAAUAAGUGUAUAUCACAAGGUAGUGAAAUUAUAAUAUAUAUAUCGCAGAUUCUUCAUCUUCCUUCAUUGUAAAACGUAAAGUUUGCAUUCCAUGAAAUAGUUCACUAGGUUUUAGUACCAUUUACAGUGGUUAUCGACAAUCGAAAGAGGAGAGGAGAGGAGAGGAGAGAGCAUGCCCUCGAGGAAAUAUUAUUCUCUUAUUCUACAUUCCCUAUUUACUUAAUUGGCGAUGUUUUAAAUUCUAUUCAGGAAAAUAUUUUUCAUCAGUAAUUUUUAUAAAUAUAUUUUUUUUCAUACCAAACACGCCUUUUUAAGUUUUGUUCUAAAUUAUCUAUUAGUAGCUAUAAGUGUUAAAAUCUAAUGCGCGUAAAUGAUCAUCUUGGUCAUUAUUUAUCCUUAAUAAAUAUUGAGAGAGAGAUUAAUCUGAUAGACAAGAACAAAGUAUUAAAUUGAGAUCAAGAUUAAAUAAAGAUAACAACAAUAACAUACUCAGUACAAUCUCAUAAUAUAAGAUCUUAGGAGGAUAAAAUGUACUUGGACCUUACAUCAAGUUACACUUUAUAAUUUAUAAUACCUUAUUAUGAAGCAUGAAAAAAAACAUGACACAUAAAUAGACCGGAUAGAGUAUCCCUAUGACGAUAGUAUUAACACAUGGUGUAGUGCUAAGUACUCUUUCAUCCUUAACCAAACAUGUUGGGUUCGAGUCCCCCGAGUACGAAAUCUCCUUUGUUAGAGAGUGUUUUACCCCAAUGUAGGACUUCAAUUUCCGGCGCAGAUCUGAAUAUAGUCGAACUUCAAUAUCGAACACCAGAUAGGAAAUUAAACCAGGAAAAAAGAAACAUGUUUAUUCAUCCAACAUGUACGAAGCCCCCUUUGUUAGGAAGCGUUUUACCCAAUGUGGAACUUUGACUUUCGAUGCGAAUCUGAAUAUAGUCGAACUUCAAUAUAGAUACCAAACACCAGAUAGGAAAUUAAACCAGGAAAAAAAAACAUGUUUAAUUCAUCCAACAUUUCCAAACACAAAUCAAUACACAUAUAGUAGUAAUAAAUAUUGCUUUUACAAAAUGAAAAAAAAACAAAAAAAAAAAAACUGCAAAAUAAAUUUAAAUAUUUUCAUGAUCAAAUCUCCUUAGGGUCAGCGUAUUUUUGUAAAGCAUCACCAACCAUUUUCCCAUACCUAAAUUCUUCAAAUAUUUCAACUCCCAUAUCAACAUAAAAAUCAUAUGAUUUUUUAUUCCAAACAGCCACAAUUCCCUCAACUGAUGAAAAUCCAUUAUUUGCAGCAAUUGAUGCAACUGUCCCAAACAACAACCUUCCCAUGCCCAAUUUCCUAUAACUUUCCCUAAAAUAAAGACUCUCAAAAUAAAUCCCAGCCUUAUCAUAAAAACACGAAUAAUUCGCGUAAAAAAAUGAAUAUCCAGCAAUAAAAACAUCGUUUUUAUCAUCAUCAUUGAUCGAAUUGGACUUGAAUUCAUCGGCUUCUUUGUCUACGACAUUUGCCCUUAGGUCAAAUUUUUUUAGGACAGGCUUAAAUUUUUCGCCUUUACUAUCAAUAUCUGAAAAAGGCGUUGGCGAUACUUCAAGUAGAAGUAUUGAAGGACCAUAAAAUAAAGGACUAGGGUUUGUUUUAUUGAAUAAAAGGUCACAAAGGGAGGAUUCAGUAGCUUUGUAAAGAUGAGUGUAAUUAUGAUAUUCAUGAAUUUGGUAAAAAAGUUUGUAUAUAUGAUGUAUAUCAUUUUCAUUUGCAAGUCUAACUCUAACAUAAACUUUUUCAGUAAUUGUGAGGGGGUUUUCAAUUGUAGCCAUGAUGAUAUAUAAUAAUAAUAAUAGAUGGAUGGAUGGAUGAAGAAAAAAAAUUGAAGUGUUUUUGUUUUUGGUUAUGAUGAGAUAUGUUUGAAUGAAUAUGGUUAUUUAUAGUUGAAAAUUUUGUGUUGUUUUUGUUUUGUUUAUUUGUUAUUUUUUGUUUGGUUGUUGGUGGAAAAGUAUAUUAAAUUAAAAUUAUGAGGCGUAUUCAACUAUUCAUGAUGUGCAAGUUAGUGUGUGUUUGGUAUGGAGGAUGAUGAUGUUUUAUAAUUUUGUAUGUUUUUGUAAGUUAAAAUAUUUUUGAAAAUGAGUUUCUCGUUGUUUGCAAUAAAUUUUAAAUAUAUGGAAAAUAAAUAAAUCACACAAAUAAAAUCUAAAGAAAUAUGAUUUUUUUUAUUGAUAAUAGUGCAGGUAUAAUUUUGUUCCUCCCUUGAUUUUCCUCUCAUAAGAUUUAUUCAUGAUUCGAGGGCCGUUAGUGGCGUAUUUCUCGAACUACGAUGAUUUAGAUUUGACCUCUAUAUGAAUAUUUCAUGACUUUUGUAGAAUAUAUCGAGAUGCCUUUUAAAGGAAUUUAGUACCCUUUAUAUAGGCAUGACAUGAACUAGGAUUUAGGGUUGAGUAGCCUCCAAGAAAUCUAAUUGAAACUGAAUACACCUUCUAAACCCCCAUUCGAAUUGAACUCAUCUUGUAGAGUCCCGCAAAAUUUCAAUGUCUACACUCGUAAAUGUGGAAAAUAAUUUCUUUAAUAAAAAUAGAAAAAACAGGUUCUAUAAGUAACAUUUCAAGUUCAUCGUCUGCUUGCUAUCUUUUGAUCAUCCCACCUCUAAACCACCCAUUCCCUAUCUCAUCAUGUCCACGUAAUAUUUUUCUAGAUUACGUAAUAAUAAACUCACAUAUUUUUCUAUUAAAAAAAAUGUGAAAAAUAUUUUCCUUCGUGCCAAACAUAGAAGAGAUAGUUGAAUUUGGUUGAGUUGGUGAAAGGUGAGUAGUGAGUACCAUGUCCACGUACUUUGCUGGCUCAUCAUACUUUCCUAUUAAAUAAAUUUGUUUUGAAAGGGACCAUCUAAUAGUUCUCCUUUAAAUUAUUAUUUUUGUGGGGAAAUCAUAAAGCUAUUUUGUAUUUUAUUUGUUAAUUUAUUAAAUAUUAAGCAGAUAAAAAAAAUGAGGCAGAGAGUCGAUAAACUAGUUGAUUGACUUGGCAUGUGUUAUUUAAUAGUAUUAAAAAUGUUUUAAAGUUGAGAUUAGGCAAAAUUAUUUUCUGUUUUUCUAGUUACUAAAUUUAUUUAGCACUUUUUGUAAAGACAAUCUGUCGGAUUUUUUACAAAAAGUGUUAUCGGACACUAUACUUUUUACAACCAUCAUCAUUGAUCACCACCCAAAAAAAGAAAAAAACACUGAUACAUAAUAGUUUCUUCUUUAAAGUUACAAAUAUAUAAAAAUUUGUAUAUUAAGUGAAAAUAGUGCAAAAUAAAUAUCUACUUGGAACCUCAAUAAUAACACCACCAAAGUGACAUACAAGAAUUGUAAUAACUAGCACAAAUUAUUUACGAAAAAUCUUAUGUACGCCACUAAAUACAAUUCGUUAAUGAACUCCAAUCGUGCAAACUUUAUAGAGUAUAUAUAAGUUAUCCUUCAUCAUAGUGUAUAAGUUAUUCAUAGAGUUAACAAGAGACAAGUAGUUGUGUGACCUUGGGUACGAAGUCGCCUUGAGCGUUUUACCCUUAGCGUGAAUCCGAAUAUAAUUGAACUCUAACGUGAAUAUCAAAAAAAAAAUAGUCGUGAGACAUUUUCUUCUAAUGUGAGAAAAUGGCCAAACAAUCCAACCUACCACCUACCUACCUAUCACUAUAAUUGACUAAUGGUAUAAAAAAAUCAACCUGCAACCAUCAAAGUUUGGUGGAAUGGAUAACAUCUUUGUUUUAUGGAUAGGCGGAAUCAGAAUUUAAAUUAAUUUUAUAGAUUUUAAAUUUUAAAAUAGUGAAACUAAGGGUUAAUAAUUAAGUAUAAUUGAACUCAUACAGGACUUUUAGCUUCGCCUCAAUUAUUAUUAAUUAACUAAAAAAUUUAAGUUUGCAACCCAAAAAUAUAAAUGUACUGAUAACAAAAUUCCUUAUUUUUCAAUGAAUUUUACAUAAUACAAGUAUAAAUUAAUUACCUACCUAUCACUACAAGUCAUCAACUAGAAGGUGACUUGCAUGUCUAAUAUAUUAAAUAAAUAUCAUAUUGAUAUGGUCCAAGCAAUGUUUGAUGAGCAUGGUAUUUUCAUUACAAAAUCUACUAAUAAUACUAUAGGAAAUCUCAUUUUUAAUGUCCUAGAAAUUUUGAUUCUGUCUCGAUCCAAUAUUAAACUUUUAUGGUAAUAAAAAUAAUAAUAUCGUGAUUAGUCACUUUUAUUUUUCCUAUUUAUAUGGUACGAUUCAAAUUUUUAAUUUUUUAUUGUAAAUAGAUUGAAUUAACAAAAAGAGAAUUUUUAAAAAUGACUAUUUAUGUUUAGGUUUAAUUAGAGAUCUAUAAUUAUAGUUUGCUUAAUUAUGAUUUAUAAUUACAUGUUAAAAGAAGAAAAGAGACAAGCAAGAUCGGAAAAGGGAGGAGAGAAGCGAGCGAGAGAAGGGACAAAGAAAAAAGACGCCAAUCAUAUUUGUAUAUCUACUAGAUAAUUAUGUAUAUGUAUCUAAUAUAUAUAGAUUUAUAACUAAGAAAAAAAAAAUUUUGAAAUCAUAGAUAAAAUAAAAUUGAAUAAACCCCUAGAUCGUAACUAGCUUCGCUCCGUGUACUUGUCUCUACGUUCGGGCAAAUAUUACCAAACAAACAUCUUGCAAGUUGUGAGACACACCUCAAACUUUCAUUGACUUUUUCUACUCAAUUUGGUAAAAUAGUCAAACUUAACAACUUACCAACUUUACCAAAAUCAUCUUAUUAUUUUAAUAAUUACAAUAUUCGACAUGCAGGCCAAUUAAACUUGGGAAGAAACACGUAUGACCUACAAUUAAGUAAUCACUUACCCUAAAUGUUUAUAUUUUAUAAAAACACCCAUCAUUUAUUACUAUCAAGUUGACAAGCUUUAAAAAACACCACAAAGACACGUAUUCAACUUAUGUAAUAGUAUUGUUACAUAGAACUUGUUAAUUAAAGUAAUGUAAAUAUAAAAAUUGGAUGCUUCUCUUUGAGUUGAAUUUUUUUUACUAUAUCCUACAUUGAUAUAUGAAAUCGUUAAUACGUAGUUUGGAACUUAUAAUUUAUAUAUGGUUUAAUUUUUAUCACCGAGCAAGUCCAUUAUAAAAUGAUAAUAUAAAUUGUUGGGUUCUCCGCAGUUUUGUGGUUGAUGAAGUGACAUGAAACGGGUAAGUCAAGCUGGUUCAACGGUGCACUGUCUCAAGGAGCUGAAUUUGUAGCAAGAUCAUAAAAGAUAAGUGUGUAGAAAUUAAGGAAUGGAUAAUGCUAAUUUCUAAUAAACCUGAGGAGACAAAGAUGUGUUGAAUUGAAGAGUUGAAGUUUGAAUUGAAGGAGUUUCACUUGAAGUGGAACUCUUAAAUCAAGAAAGUUCGAGUCAAUGUGGAAUUUGAAGCAAAGAACAACCAUUUGAAGAGUUGUGUUUAAAUAGAACUAUAGAAGUGAAGUCGUGAAGAAUAUAUCUGCACUUACAUAUCAAAAAGAACAAUUGAAAAUUUGGCAUCACAAGUGUUACCAGAAGAUUAAAAGAACACAUUAAUAAAUCAGGUCUUGGGCUUAUGUAUUAAAAGAUCUUCAUUGAGUUGUAAUGUUGAUGUAAUCUUAGUUCAUGGAUUGAACUGACCCACAAUCUGUCUCUUCAACCUUUGAGUAGACCAUAGGCGGGACUCUCUUUCGCCUAGGCAGAGAGGAGGGAAUGUAAGACGAGACUGAUUCAAGAGUCUUGGACAGAAGGGAGGGGACGGAGACGGAGCUUCCUUCUUGACUUUCAUCAUUUCAAGAAAGCUUAUUUGAGCAGAGAAUUUCCUUUUAGUACAAUUUCUUUUUAUAAUUAAAUUGAAUAAGAAGAUUUGUCUUCAAGUUAAGAUAACUCAAAGACUUGGGAACACAUACCUUAGGAGAUUUAUGUUGAAGUUUAGGAAUUAGAGUUAGUUCUUAAGAUUGCAAGAGUUGUAAUCUGAAUUUAUAACUUGAAGUAUGUUUGAUCAUUUGAUUGAUUGUUGAUGUUUAGGAAUUAGCGUUAAUUUCUUAGGUUAUAGAAAAUCUUAAAUUGUUGAGGCUUAGUGAUUUUGUGAAGUUGAAGUUAAAUCUUGUAGGGGUACAAGUCGUGAUUUUUACACCUUUUGAUUAGGUGUUUUCUACGUACGUAAAACAUUAUGUUCUUUACUUAUUGCUCUUACUGUUGGAAAAUGUUAGACCACCAACUUUUCACUUAGGCGAAAAGUUAUGUUAAGUAACUAACCUCUAGGUCGUGUAGAAUAUCACAAAUUUGUGAAUAUUUUUAAAUAAUUUUUAGAACGUAUGAGUAUAUAUCAUAUUUCUUUAAUAAUUUACUUUGGACUAUUCCUUCUAUUUUUGAUUUGUUUGUCUGAUUACACCAAAACAAUAUACUUGGGCCAUUGCCCAUUAGAGGAGGACUGGUUGUUAUAUUGGGCCAAUAUGGACGAAAGUCAAGCCCAAGAAACUUUAUAAAUGGAGUAGGAAUUGGACCUGAUGAACAAAAUCAUUUUUAAUAGUUGGAUGAUAAAAUCGUGUGUUAUUAUCGUUGCUAUUAUUUUUGCGCAAAUUAUAGAAAUACACACUUUUUGCUUCACUUAUUUUCAUUAUUCCUUAUUACUUUUAAAAAUCUCCAAAAUUCCUUAUUUCUAUCCGAGCUGCAUAUUAAUGUAUCCGAGCCAGUAUUUAAUGUAUCUGAGCUAUAUAUUAAUAUAUCCGAGCUAGUAUUUUAUGCAUCCGAGCUACAUAUUAUGUAUCCGAGCUACAUAUUAAUGUAUCUGAGCUUCAAUUAUUGUAUCCGGUUUUUUUAAUUUUUAAGGGAUUAAUGUAAUUAGAAACUUAUUAGGGAUAGAUUGUAAUUUCAUAUUAAAACUAUGGGAUUUAUGUUAUUUACCCAUUAUUUUUUUCACUAAUAGGUCUUGGUAACUAAUUGUAAUUUGACAAAUUGCAGUAGAUAGUAAUUGUGUUAAAACUAGUUUGUAUUAAAAUAAUUAUAUUAUAAUUUUAGGAUAAUACAUCAUAAAAUAAUAAUUUUAUGUCAAACUUAUGAAUUAUGACGUUAUCUGAGAGUUUUUAACACUUACGAAUAUAAAAUCCUAUUUUAUUGUUUUUCAAAACAAAAGAAAAAAAUGAAAUAUAUAUCUGAAAAUAUGACCCAAACAUAUUUUAAAACUUCAAUUCAUACUUUACUUUAUCUGUUUUUUCAAAAAUAUUUGAAAAUUACUAUAUAAGAAGAGUGAAUAAAAUUCACUCUUCUUUUGACACAUGGCACCAAAAAAAAGGAGAGGGUUGAACAUAAGUGUCAAGGUGAGGGUAUUUUGGGUAUUUCAAAAUACCCUCACAUUCACACUUAUCUACUAAAAAUAAUAAUAUAUAUAAUAGUAAUAUAUAAUGUAUAAUAUAAGUAGUACAUAAGUGUGAAUGUGAGGGUAUUUUGGGUAUUUAAAAAUACUUAUGUUACGUAUUUUUAAAUACUUUAAGUUGUGAUUAAUAAUAUUCUUAACGUAAUUUCAAAUAAUAUAUGUUACUCCAUUUGUCCCAAUUUAUGUGACACAUGUAAAAUUUUGAGAGUUAAUAUGUUUUUCAAAUAUUGUAAGUUGUUAACUAUUGUGGUUUAUGGUAUUCUUAAUGUAAUUUUUCAAAUAAUAUAUGUUAUUCCCUUCGUCUUAAUUAUACUACUAAAAUAUAUAUAUAUAUAUAUAAUAGUAAUAUAUAAUGUAUAAUAUAUAUAUAAGUAGUACAUAAGUGUGAAUGUCAGGGUAUUUUGGGUAUUUAAAAAUACCCUCACAUUCACACUUAUCUACUAAAAUAUAUAUAUAUAUAUAUAAUAGUAAUAUAUAAUGUAUAAUAUAUAUAUAAGUAGUACAUAAGUGUGAAUGUCAGGGUAUUUUGGGUAUUUAAAAAUACCCUUUAGCACUCUUCUUAUAUAGUAAUUUUUUUUAUAUAAGUAGUAGAUUUAAAUAUAUUUAAAAAUAAUAUAAGUAAUACUAUACUUAGUAUGCUUUAAAAUAGUAAAAACUACAUAAAAAGUACUACAUACUAUAUUACAAUAAUUAACAAUUAUUUGACACUUUCAAUUCUAUCAAUGCCAUAUAAAUUAGGAUUAAAAAGGUAACAUAUAUAUUCAAAAAUAAUAUAAGUAAUACUAUACAUUACAAUAAUUAAUAGCUUAAAUAUUUAAAAGUUAUAUAAAAAAUAUAAUUGACUCUCUAAAUUCUAUUGGUACCACAUAAAAUGGAUUAUAUGAUAAACGUAUAUUGUUUGAAAUUGACGAAAAAGAAACUAUAAAUUACAAUAAUUAACAAAAAAAUUCGCUCGACUCCAACAAAUCUAUCAAUUAAUGCCACAUAAAUUGGGACAUGGGAAAUAACAUAUAUUCUUUAAAAAUUAAGUUCAAAAUGUACUAUAAAAUACAAUAAUUAACAACUUAAUAUAGUAAAGAGACAUAUAAAAAAUAGUUAAUAUUUGAAAUUUUGCAUGUGCCACAUAAAUUAGAACAAAGAGAGUAAUAAAUAUUAUUUUCAAAAUUCUGUAAAAAAAGGUACUACAAAUCACAAUAGCUAACAAUUUAAAAUAUUUUUACAAUCAUAUAAAAAUUUCAAUAACUUCUCAAAUUUCAUAAUAUAUGACAUAAGAAGAGGGAAUAACCAAUAUAUUUAUAAAAAUAAAUGACAUAUAAAAUGAAAUGGAGAGAGUAUUAGUUUUUGAAAAUGGAAAAGGACAAAACACAUAUAAAAUUAAAAGACAUAUAAAAAAAAGUUGGUUUAACUCUCAAACAUAAAAAGUAACAUAUGUUAUUAAAAACUUUAAUAAAAAGUACUAUAAUUUACAAUAAAUAAUAACUUAAAAUAUCUACAAGGAAAAAAAAAAAAGACUAAUUUUUGUACUGCUUGUGUCACAUAUAUUAGGAUUGGGAUGAUUUUAAAAUUUUAAUUUUGGUUAUACAUUAUAAAAUAGCCGAAAAAUUGAAUGAUAUAAUUUUUUUUUAAAUAACUGAAUGAAUCGUCCUAUCGAUAAUCCUAAUGUUACUUCUACUUUGUUUAUUUUUACUUAAAUGUAGAAAGAUAUGCUUCAGUUCUACCCUCAAUCUUAUCGCUACAUUUAUUUGCUAUUUAAAAUUGAAAUUAAAAAGACAAAUGACAAAUAAGUUUCUAUAUUAGCUCACUUAUGAGCAAAAUAUAUUAUAACAAUCUUUACUAUUUUUAUAACAAUACAUAAACUAUACUCCCUCCGUCCCAUAUUAGAUGGGCACUUCCAACUUUACACGGUGAUUAAGAAAUCAUUAAUACAUUGGAAGACUUCACCAUUUUGCCCUUUGUUUAUAUCAAUGCACAUUGAAAUGAGUAACAAAAAAUACACAUACAAUAUAGGAAUGGUCAUAUUAAUUGUAGGGGUAAAAUGGAAAAGAAUUAAUUAAUUCUAUCCUAAUUUAAUAAGAGCUCAAAUAAUAUGAAAAAAAAAUAUUUUUAGUAAGAUUCUCAUCUAAUAUGGGACGGAGAGAAUAACAAUAUAACUUUAUUAAUGUUGGAGCCGGGCAGCGCCCGGGCUUUCUUUACUAGUAUAAUAUGAAAAAUAAAAAUUUAGUAAGAUUCUCAUUUAAUAUGGGACGGAGAGAAUAACAAUAUAACUUUAUUAAUGUUGGGCCCGGGCAGCGCCCGGGCUUUCGUUACUAGUUUAUAUAUAAACACUAGCUAAAUAAUUAUUAUCUCUAAAAAUUAUUUUUUUUUUCAAAAAAUGUGGAAUAAGAAAAGAAAGGCCUGUGAAUUUUUUUAUAUUUUCUUUUAAAAAAAAGAGAUGGUAAGUAACGAACCACGUGAUUCUCCAAACUGGGGCUAUUUAAUAUUUUUUUGUUUUUCACCCUAGUUUAGUAUCACUAUUGAACCUCGACUAAAUUUAAAUUUUGGAUUAAAAAAUCUCAUAUUGAGAAAACACAAGUGACGAAAAAGGUGAAUUCAAUCCCGAAAUUCCAUAUUGAGAGAACAAAAGUGAAUUCGUAUCAAAGCAUUCAAACCCAAAAUAUUUAAUUAAAAAUAUACAAAUUUCGUAUUAAUCAAACUCUAAUAUCAUAAUAUCAUGAACCUUCUUAUUAAUGAAACUCUGAUAUCAUAAUAUCAUAAACCAACCACGUGGAUAAUUACAUUCCACUUUCAUGAAUUAAAUUAACCAAAAAAAAUUACAAAAUCUCCACACUUUCCACAUUUUAGUUUUAAUUUCCAGAAGAAAAAAAAAUCUCAUUUCUUGAAGAAUCCAUAGUCACCAAAUUCACUGUUGUUCUUCAAAUUUAGGUUUUGUAAAUCUGAAAUCCAAACACCCAAAUGGCUUCUUUAUCUUCUUCUUCAGUUUUGUCACCAAUUUGUACCUUUUUUUCUCAACCAAAACUGAAUCUUUACUGCAACUCUUCUUCUUCUUCUUCCUACAAACCCACUUGUAGUUCUUCCAAAUCUUCAAUUUUCCAAAAUGGGUUAUCUUUAUUAACAACUAAAUCAUGUGGGUCUUCAUUGAAAUCUAAGAAUAUGGGCAAUACCAUCUAUGCUAGAGCUGCUACUGAGAAGACUAUUUAUGACUUCACUGUUAAGGUGUUUAUAUUUUUUUAUCUCAAUUUCUUUAGAUACAUUUAGAGACUAUAAAUAUGUUAAAAGUUGCAGUUUUUUGGGUGGAACUGUAUUUUUAUUUUAUUUUUUUGGACUCGUAUGGUAUGAGGGAUAAGGAAUUACUUAUCCGAGAUUAAUUUUAGGGUGAGUUUAUUUCAUGUUUGGUUGGGAUGGGAUAAAAUUGCGGAAUAAUUUUUCCCGGGAUUAUAGUGUUAUUCCACAUAGAGGGACUUGUUCCUCCUUGCUAGGAGGGAUAACUAAUGUCGAGAUUAAUUUUAGGAUGAGUUUAUCACAUGUUUGGUUGGGAUAAAAUGGCAGGAUAACUUAUUCCAGGAUUGUAGUGUUAUUUUUGUCCCAUGUUGAGGGUGUCGUUUGCUAUGCGGGAUAAGGUGACAUAUUCCUGGAUUAAGUUUGGGAUGAAAUUUAUAUUGUGUUUGAUUGACGGUAUCGAUUGAAUCUAAGUUGAAUCUAGCAUCCAAUUUAAAGUGAUUAUAUUAAUGAUUAUGUUUACUUGAUGUGUGUGAAUUUCCAUGGUGAAAAUAGUUGAAGAAAAUAAACCUCAAAGAUAUCUAGGUAGUGUCAUCAAAGGCUCGCUUAAAGCGCGCUUAAGCCCUGAAGCUAGGCUCAAAGCGUGUUGAGCGCUUCGCCUCGCUAAAUGUGUGCUUUAGUGUCGUCAUCAACUUUCUAAGGCAUACUUUUCCUUGCCAAUGAGCCUCUUCUGAAGAGGCAACACUAAACAAUUGAUAUGUCAUUUUAUCAUAAGAAAGUUUCAAUUUUUUUGUUUCGUACAUUUGUCAUUCAUUCAUGCUUAAAAUUAUUAGUCUUGGACUAAACAUAUAUAUAUUUAGAAUUUUUUCUCCCUUUGCGUCUUUUUUCAUUGAAGCUCAUGCUUUACCUGCGCUUUGGGCUUAAAGCCCCAACAGAUCAAGUUUUUUUGCUUUUGAUACAGUGGUUCUAGGCUGCACAUAUUCCCUGUUGGAAAUUGGUAUGAGCUGUUAGGAUUACCAGAAAUAAAGUCAUACACUGAGAUGUUUUUCUCUUUCUGUUGAAUGCCUUAAUCAAGUGAUUGGAGCAGAGGAAGUUACUAGCCGGGUUUUGAGUAAGUAUUUUUUCAUGAGAAGGAGAUGUCAGUUUCACACCAUCUAUUUGUAUAUGACACACUGAUAUUUUCCAAGCCCGAUCGAGAUAGAUUUGUGCAGAUUGUAUUUUAGGCUGUAUAUGCGAAUUAGUGAGAAAGUCGGAGUUAAUGCCACAAGAGAGGUGCACAGGCAUACAUGAACUCACAUUUAUGAGGGGAUGCAAGGUAGUCGAGAUUGAAUAAGAUUAGUUGGGAGAUUAAGGGGCAGUAGAGGAAGGGGGGGGGGGGGGGGGGGGNNNNNNNNNNNNNNNNNNNNNNNNNNNNNNNNNNNNNNNNNNNNNNNNNNNNNNNNNNNNNNNNNNNNNNNNNNNNNNNNNNNNNNNNNNNNNNNNNNNNNNNNNNNNNNNNNNNNNNNNNNNNNNNNNNNNNNNNNNNNNNNNNNNNNNNNNNNNNNNNNNNNNNNNNNNNNNNNNNNNNNNNNGGGGGGACCGAUAGCCGGUGGUGAUACAGAAAUUUGUAAAAAUGAUUGAUGGGGUGGAAUAGAUAGUAUUUUCUAGACGAGGGAGACGGAGAACAGUUUGAAUUAUGCAACCUGUCCAGUAUCACCGCGUAUUUAUGCACUUGUUUUCUAUCCCAACAGCUAUUUGCAAAAUAUUUGAAGAUAUUCAGAUUGAAGUUCUUUAACCAAGCAAAAUGGAUAUGUUUCCUUGUUUAUGUUUUUGUCUUGAUGCAGGAUAUUGAUGACAAAGAUGUUCCACUUAGCACAUUUAAGGGAAAGGUUCUUCUAAUUGUCAACGUUGCUUCCAGAUGGUACUUUCUCCUCCAUUUCUAACUGAUUGUUUAAGAUUCAGAUAACUUUACCAUAGUUUAGUGAUCUGACUGGAGAAACUGGUUUUGGAUUCAGUGGCUUGACGACAUCAAAUUACACAGAGCUCUCUCGUGUGUAUGAGAAGUAUAAAAAUCAAGGUGAGCUGCAUGCUUUAGGAUUCAAUAUGUUGAAUCUCUGUAAACGUCUGGAAAUUUAGCACGUAACUCUCUUGAAAUGGCAAUGCUUCUCCUGAACAUGUAUAAUUUGUGGUUUCUGCUUAUUUUUAUUCUACUCAUAAGAAAGAUAGCCAGUAAUACUAACAUGUGCACAACUACAUGAAAAUUGAAUGGCAUAAUGAUAGCUUUCAAAAUCUAUUCCUGUUACUAAUUGUAGAAUAGUUUCCCCCGGUGAUAGAAUUUGAUUACAAAAGGAGUUAAUCAACUGAAAUUGAAUGAAUCGAACUAUAAUGUCAUGAUGAAUCAUAAAUCCUUUUCCGAUUUUAUUUUCUAGUAACCGACGAAUAGAUCAAAUAUGCUUUCAAAUUUUUGUAGCCUUUCAACUUCAACUUCCCUUAUUUAAGAUGCUCUCUUGAGUUGAUGGUAUAUGUCCCUUCGUAAAUGCUUGAGGAACAGUGAUAUUUGAUGAUUACUAGUCCGGCUGUAAUCUUUAUGGAAUAAAAAGCAUAGUUUCAUUGAGCUAUAUAGUAUCUACAAUUUGAGGUAUAUGAGCCAGUCAAAAGAACUCCUAUUAACUGCUAUCUCAUAGGUCUUGCAGCUUUUAACUCGAGUCACCAAAGAGACAUCGGAUGCCUCUCUAGUAGCAUCCAUAAUAGGACAUCUUACUAGCAAGUACAUGUUAUAUUUUCAUUGAACCACUGGCUUAAAAUACGUAUUAAUUUUUAACGAUUUCUGUUAUUGCAUAACUAUUGAAUAUGUAUUGUUUUUACAAGUUCAAUUUCAACAUUGUAAUUUGCACUGACAUAUAGUUUAUCCCAUGCAUAUCCUUCCAACUUAGUUGAUCACAUUCCUUGCAGGACUUGAGAUUCUUGCUUUUCCAUGUAAUCAGUUUGGGGCUCAAGAGCCAGGAUCGAAUCCGGAGAUUAAACAGUUUGCUUGCACACGGUUUAAAGCUGAAUUCCCAAUUUUUGACAAGGUUUGCAUUUACUUCCCCUGCAUAUAAUUUCUAUGGAGUGCCAUACUGGUAUAAUCAAAGGACUAAUAAGAUAUGAAACAGGUCGACGUGAAUGGCCCAAACACGGCACCAGUUUACCAGUUCCUAAAAUCAAGUGCAGGAGGAUUUUUAGGUGAUCUGGUUAAGUGGAACUUUGAGAAGUUUCUUGUGGACAAAAAUGGUAAAGUUGUUGAGAGGUAUCCACCAACUACGUCGCCUUUACAAAUCGAGGUACUCACUCUUUUACCUCAUUUCUUGUAUAUAUACAAUAUUUGAAGUCAUGGGAGCUCCAUAAUUGGUUUUAAAUCUGCUGUGAUAUAAUUGAUCUCUCACUAAGUCAUAGCUUUUUUUUGAUAACUCGAUGGGAAGAAUAGGUGGGAAUUAGAAGGAUAAAGAAGAAUGAGAAACAGCUUUGAUAAAACUUGUAAUUUCGAGUAAAUAGGAAGAAGGAGAAAAAGAGAGGGGGAUAAUAAUAAGAGAAAGAGGAGUGAAGAGCGAGACGUAGUAUUUUAGUAUCAAAUCAAUCAAUCAACAACAACAUACCCAGUGUAGUCCGACAAAGUGGGGUCUUGAUAGUAUCAAAUCAAUGCAUCGAAUAAUUUCAUGUUUUCAAGUUUUAAAUGAAAACGGACCUUGGUCCUAAAUCAACCCAAAUAAAUCCAAAUAUGAUUUCGAUGAUUGGUUCACUUCAAUAGAUGUUUUUCCUACAGGCGUGUAGUCUGUCUUAACCCCCCAGUGUAUAGUAAAACUCUGCCUCCCAAGUCCCAACCUUAACUAGUACUAUUAUCUCACACGAAUUCUCCCUAGUAGCCCGGUAAAAUGAUCAUAAACUUCGACCUGAUUUGAAUCUAAAUACUUCACUAUGAGUGCGCUUACAGCUUUGAUGGAACGAAAAUGCAUUAACUCUACCUCGCUUCUGGUUAAUCCCCGAUUCACAAAAGGAAAACGAACAUGAAAAUGCUUUUAGAGUUUGUUAUUGACACAACAUAGUUCUUGAGUGCACUUCUAAAUGUCCAGAUAGGAAGAAAGUAUUAGGAAAGUUUUCAUCUGUUUAAGCCUUUCCUUGAGCUGAGGGUCUAUCAGAAACAACAGAGGUAGGAGUAAGGUCUACGUACAUUCAACCUUCAACAGACUCCACUUUGUGUGGUACUACACUUGGUAUUUUGAUCAUCUGUUUAAGCCUCGGUGAGGUACUUAUGCUGGUGGGAAGUAGCAAGUACCGGUAGAAUAUUUUAGGUGCAUAAGUUAGUUCGAACGUCACCGUUAGUUGAAAACAACUAUCAUAGGACAUACAUAAGAAAAGCUGCAUUUCUAAUUUUUUUCAAUCAACUGCAUCUAUAGAUUAUGUUGUUUUCUGAUGUUGCCAAGUAAUGUUUUGUUUUAAUCUAUUGCAGAAAGAUAUUCAGAAACUUUUGGCAGCUUAAAUAAUGCUCAUGAGAAAAGGCUAUUUGUGCAAUUCAGCUAAUUAUAUAUAGUAGCUUCUCUUUAAACAGUUAUUCCCUCUGUUGCUAUUUAAUUGUCAUCGUUUUAGAUUUCACAUCAUUUAAGAAAUUAUGUUAGUUUAUCAUUAUAUUCUUAUUUAGUGUUCUCUUACAGUCAAGUUUUCAAUUAAUUAACAUAAAUUAAUUUAUUUGACCAAUGAACAUGAAUUAAUUACUUAGUUUUCCGAUGGUAUAAUGCAUACUUUCAAGGAUAAAAUAGGAAGAAUAGUGUCAUUUAUUCAUUGAUUUUGUGAAAUGACAAAUAUUACUACCUCUGUCCACUUUUAAUUGUUAUGUUGCACUUUUCGAAAGUUAAUUUGACGAAAUUUCAAAAUUAAAUUAGAUUACAUUAAUUCAAUAUUUUAAACAAGAGAUUUAGAUAUUCAAAAAUUAUAUGAAAAGUACUAUAAAUUGCAAUUUUUCGCAUAUCAAUAUGAUGAAAAAAUACAUCAUAGAAUGCUACUCAAAGUUCUUAUAUAUCAUAAAGAAUAAAGCACAAUCAUCCAUAGAUGAAAAAAUAAUUAAUAUUACUUAUUUUCUAAGAAUACUAAAAAUAUAAAAUAUAACUUAUAUUUAAGAAAAAAUAGUAUCUCAUUUAUAUAAAUAAUUAAUUGUACUUAUUUUAAGACAACUGAAAAUAUAAGAUUUCACUUAUGCUAAAGAAAAAUAAUUUUCCUUCUGUAUCAACGUAAAUAUCUUACAUUUUUUUAUUGGACAGUAGAAAAUAUAAUAAUUAACUUAUAAUUAGAAAAAUAAUAUCCCCUCCACAUCACUUUAAGCGUCUUAUUUUUCUUUUAAUUAGAAAAAGUUAACUAUAGUUAAAUUUCUUAUUACAAAAUUAGAAAGAAAAAACAAAUUAAAUACAUUUACCAUGAAAAACUUGAGUGAACUUUUUUCCUAUCAUAUUAUAUAUAUAUAUAAAAGAAGAUGAAAGUUAACCAUAAGUAUCCCAAUUUUUAAUUGGAAAAAAAAACGUUUGAUCAUAAAAAUUGGAUUUAACUUCUUUUUGUUCUAAACAAGGUUAAUUAUUUUAUUCUUUUAUAGGUUAACUUCUUCCAAAAAAAAAUUAUUAUAAAAAAAUUGUCACGACUCAGACCAUCGUGAUUGGCACCCACACUAACCAUCCGGUGGAAGAACCAUAACUACUAACUAACUAACAAUUUAAAGCUACGGAAGCAGGUUUAAAUAACUAAAUAAGGAAGUUCCCAUAAACUUCAACAAAAGAUCUAACAACUAAACUAAACAAAUGCGGAAGAAAUAACCUAGAACCUGAAAGUCAAUGUACCAAAACUCUAACAAGAUUCAUAAGUCUAAACAAGAAAAUCAUCUAAAGAACUAGUCUAAGUCCGAAUAAGAUGGAACUCAAGGCAACCCGAAAGAACUGGCUUACCCUUGAAUUCGAAUCGGCGAUCACUGAUCUUCUAAGCGAGGUCUGUCAAUAGCCGUCAGAAGAUGCCCUGUACUCAACAAAAAUAAGAGCAAGUGCAGUAUCAGUACACAACUACCGUGUACUGGUAGGAUCACGUGACUAUCCCACUAAGUGUAACAUAAACAAGUUAAUACAACAUUAUAAUCACAUGCAUAUAUACAAUAUUGAAUAUCACAUGCUCAACAAUAUACAUUGAUAACAAGUCAUUGGUCCUCUCAUGGAACCCAAACCCAAAUUGUUAGUGCACUGAUUCGUGGUACCCGAUCCAAUAGUUAUGCCAAAAGGUGGCAACCGAUCCCAUAUUUAUGCCGGAACGUGGCAACGGAUCCCAAUUGGUAUGCCGGAACAUGGCAACCGAUUCAUUCAACACACUACAAUCACAAUCACAAUUAUAUUCUCAAUAAUCAUACAAUCAAGAAGUGAUUCAUGACAUAUAGUUAUUCGUUCAUACUCAUUUACAAUUAGUGUGAUCAACAAUGCGACAUUCGCAUACAUACAUUCAUCAUAAUGAAGCAAAAACAAGCUUACAUCACAUAAUCAUGAAAUUACAACCAUCACCUACCUCGAAUCCAAGCUUGAAUACCCUAAGGCACUUGAAUCUUCUUUUUUCGGAUUCGUUCCGCUUGUUCUUGGUCUACAAACAAGCAAUAUAAUACGGGAAUCAAUAAACAACCACUAAUUACCCGAAUUACUAACAUUUCAAUGAACCCUAGAUCAAACCCAUGAUCCCAAUUAUUCAAAUUAGGGUUGUUUCCACCAUAUAAUCUAUAACAAAACCCUCCCUCAUCAAUAUUCACCCAUUCUAUUAUGUUCUAUGGUUCAAAAAAUGGAUUCGGGGAGUGAAAAACUUACUUUAGCCUCAAGAAUGGUGAAAACGAGUAGGAGUCGUCUGGGGUUCAUUCCUUAGCUCUAAAAGUUGAAAAGUGCAUAAUAAGGUCCUUUAGAGGUUUAUUAAUGACCUUAAGUCGCGUUGAUCCCGCCACAACGGCACCCACCUCGCUACAGCAGCCUCACCAGAGCGAUCAAAACCACCGCCAAAGCAGCUUGCACGAAACAGUGAGCUAUUUUAAUAAUUUCAAGAUUCCAUUUCACAACACACAUUUAACCAACGAUGCUCAGAAAAUCCCCUUCACGCUAAGAUCGAUUCUGGGAGUUCUACUCGCCCAAAUUCAAUUCUGUAAAGUCGUACGGAUUCCCUAACGAGUUAUCUAUCCACUCUUGUAAUCAAAAACAUAAUUAGAUCACCCGAUUGUUACCAGAUUUUUCUAUUCCUUAAUGACUCCGAUUUCAUCCAAAUCUGGACUAGGUUGGGAAAUCUCAAAAUACUAAGAAAAAGUUUUUCGACCCAAAGUUUUUCCCUGUUGGCUUUUCUAUAACGUCGGAAUCAGAUCGUUACAAAAGUUUAACUCAAAGUUUUUUUAGUUUUUUUUUAUUAUUUUGGGGUGGGGAGGGGGGGUUCUUGUAAGUGGACCUAUUUUGAGUGUUCAUUUUUCACAUUUGAAUGUGAACCUAACUAAAUACGCAAGGCAUAAUGGCAUCAAUAAAUCAUUGAAGGUAACUUUUUAACUUACCUAUCAUCCAAAGCUUCAAAUAAAAACAAAAAGGAUAACGACAGUUCAAUAAGGUAUAUUUACGUACAUUUUAUCCUCUUCCAAUUCGACUUAUAAAAUCAUACUAAAUACGUUAUUGUUAAAAGGUGUUUACGAGUCAGUUUGAAUCGACUAUUGGCUAAAAUCAAAAUUAAUUUAAUAUUUUUAAAAAUUAUUAAAAUUCAAACCAAAUAUAAUACAACACAUCAUACACGAAAAUAAAAUCAAAAGACAUACUUGUUCUAAAUACUUUUUCUUCGGUAUACACAUGUUCGGAAUUUUUUGGUUUUGGACUAUUUUAUUUUCAUAAAUAAAUUUUGAUGAAAAUAUAUGUAAGAUAUUUAAAGAUGUUCAUAAAAAAGAAUAUAUUAUGUAUAUAUUAUUAUAACAAAAAAAUAUGUAUAUAAUUUAUCCAUUCAAUUCGAUUAUUUCUCUGAUUUUCCUAAAUAAAAUCAAAAUCAAACUAAAUAUUAUCGAUUUUUAAAAAUUUAAAAUCAAAUCAAAUCAUAAACUCAAAUAAAAUAGAUUUAUUUAAUCAGUUUGGUUCGACUUUUAUCCGAAUGGCAUAUAAUUAAUGUAUAAAUUUUGUAUAUUUCAAUCAGUAUCGAUAAUUAAUUUUAUUGAGUUGGGUAUAUUGAUAACUAUUCUAAAUAAAUACAAUUACACCAUUUCUUUUUUUAAAAAUAAAAAAUAAACAAACAACUACCCUUUUUGGGUCUUCAAUUUAAAGUUACAGUCCAAUUUAUUUAAAGAGGAAGACAUACCUUUUCUAAAAGAAGAAUAAUUUUUAUUUAAAAUGACGCCCCACAUAAUCUACGUACCCCACAUUUUUCUUUUUAUGUUCCAAAAAAAUAAUAAUAUAAAAGUGGCACUAUUUUUUUAUUAUAUAUAUCUAUAUAUAAAAUAAAAAUGGUAGUAUAAAUUUUGUUCUUUGGGUUUUAAUAUUGAGAUGAAUCAAAAAUCUUAAAAUUAACAUAUUUGUAAUUUAAAAAUCAACUAAGUGUAAGGCUUAAUAUAUAAGGUCAAAUAAUGAAAUUUUAAAAGGGAAAAGGGUGGCGUCUGAGGCGGAGCCAAUAUUAAGAGUUAGGGGGUUUUAAAUUUCCUUUCACUUCCUUAUCAUUAAGUUGUCAAUCGAUUUUGUUAGAGGUUCAUACGUUAUUUAAUUUUCUAGUACAAAUAUAGGGUCUACGGAAAAAUUACUGGGUUCGUCCGACCCCACGAACCCCCACCUAGCUUCACACUUGAAAAAGGCUCGAAUUGGCCAUCAAACUUUGAGGAAAGGCUCAUCUAUGUCAUCCGUUAAAAUUUUGGCUCAUCUAUAUCAUUUCCGUUUGAGAAAAGGUUCAUUCAUUCCAUUAUUUGUUAACUGAAAUGACAUAGAUGAACCAAACUUUUAACGGAUGGUAUAGAUGAGUUUUUUCUCAAAGUUGGAUGGCAUAUUUGAACAUUUUAUCUUUAAAAAAGGAUUAAUUAAUGACAUCGCCGAAUCAUAAUAAACCACGUGUAAAAACAUAUUUUUGCAAAAUCGAAAUUGUUUUCAUUUAACAAAUAAAUGUAUGGAUGAGCCUUUUCUCAAACAAAAAUGACAUAAAUAAGCUAAACUUUUGACAAAUGGCAUAAAUGAAUUUUUCUCUAAGUUCAGUGACAUAUUUGAGCCUUUUCCCAUUUGGAAAAGAAUCUAAAUAUCUUUAUUGAUUUUUUUUCUCACAUUUAAUUUUUAAAUUUUUUUAAAACCAUAUAUACUCAAAACUCACUUAAGGUGGCUUCUACUAUUAAAUUGAUAUAAAAUAAAGGUUGUGUCCAACAACAUAUGAGAUUCCUUAAUUUUGCUUAACAAUUAUUUAAAUAUUCUUUUUAACCAAUUUUUUUUACAAUUUUGUAAAUUAUACAAUUAAAAGGGGCUUUCCAUUGAAGAACUAUUUUACUAUGUUAGAUCACAAGAAACACAUUGCUCCUUUGGUCCCUUACAUAAGAAAAGUAUUUAUUGUUUAUUACCAAGUCAAGAAUAAAAAAAAAAAGCCAACUCAUCAUCAAUAAGAAUGACUUGUUCCCUACAUAUUCAUAUUUUUGUUUUAUACCUUCUUUUUUCCUACCAAUGAUAGUGUACGGAUCAAUUUACGCGCAUCUCAAUUAUUUAAAUGAAUAUCAGUUAUUUCUCAUCAAUACAAUAAUGUUCAAUCAUUUUGUCCACCAAAACUUAAACGUUGCAUAUGUUACAGCAGAAUAAGUUGCAAAUAAUCUUACGUAAUAACCAAACAUCAGCUCGUACUUAAUCGUUUAUGCGUUUAAUAUUUUCAAAACGUUAAUACAUGCAUAACAUGUGUUUGCUAAUAGACUAGUCAAUUGAAUUUUUAUUUUUAUUUUUAUUUUUUUUAUCAAAAAUAAAUAUCAGAUAACAUUGUACACCAAAGUCUAGACACCCUACAUACUCAUGCAUUUUAAUAUAUAUAUAUAUAUGGAAGUCAUUGUUGUUCAAAUCAAAUAUAACUAUAGAUAGAGAAAACCCCUUUCCCCUCCCCAACCAAAAACCUCCAAAAAAAAAAUGGCUUCUAUGGUUUUUACAUCAUCACCUUUUAGUGUUCAAUCAUUUGUCAAAUUAAGAACAAACUCAAAUUAUCCACAUCCUUCAUGUUAUGUACCUAGGGUAAAAAAUUCUUAUGAACAUUUAUCCUAUAAGAAUAUUUCUCAUAUUGAGUCUUCCAAAUCUUUAUUUUUAAAGGGUGAUAAUAAUUUCUCUAUUUCAUCACCAAAAUUCCCAAGAAUUGCUUCAACAUAUUCUCCAUCUUUGAAUAUUAUUAAAGCAAGUAGAGAUGAAAAUAUAUAUCAUUACCCAGCAUUUGAAGGAGUAAGAAUUUUUAUUGCUUUCAGUUUAUGUUAAUGAUUUAGAAUUUACAAUAUAAUUUUCAUUUAUAUAGUCGUAAUUUUCAGUUGUUUUCUUCGCUUCAGGUGUUGUAUUAUUUGUUAUUGUUACUUUAUUUUUGUCAUGACUUCUUUACUAUUAUUGUAUUUUCUUUCAAGAGUGAUGUCGAUAUGCUUUAUUUGAGUCGACACUACAUCAAAAAUGAUCUUUAACUGUAAUUAAUUAAUGACAAUAGUUUAAUUGCAGCUAAAUAUAUUCUUUUAGCAGCAGUUAACACUCUUUGUAAAUGUCUCUAAAGCCUAUAGCGACAUUGGAUCCAAUGACAAUUAACUAAUGCCAAUAAAGGCUUUGUCACUCUUUGUUAAUGUGCAUAUUUAUUGUCGCUAAAAGUUUUUUUGUUGUAGUACGAGGGUAAGCUAAGGGCAGAUCUAGAGGAGGUGAGGGUGUUCACCCGAACCCCUUAAGUGAAAAAUUAUAUUGUAUAUACAAGAUAUUUUUUAUACAAAGUUUUUGGUGUGUAUUCAUAAAAUUUGAAUCCCCUAAAUACAAGAGUUGAGGUCGAGUUAGUGGUUUAGGGGUUCAAAAUUUACCUUGAGGUCCCAAAUUUAAAUUUCAGGCACUACCUUUUUAUUUUUUGAACACACUUAAUGAAAAUCCUAGAUCCACCACUGAUCUAAGAUCUAUCGAAAAUAACUUUUCUACCUUUAUAAGAUUUGUAGCCAUGUAGGGCAAGACUGCUUCAAACACACCACUCAUCUCAAACCCCACAUAUAAAAUUAUACUGAGUAUGUUAUUAUUGUUAUAGUAAUGAUGUUAUUGUUAUACUCCCUCAAUCCCAAUUUAUUUAGCACUUUUCUUUUUUCGAAAAUCAAUUUAAGCUUUAAAUUAAAAAUUAAAUUAAAUUUGAUCGACUCAAUAUUUUGAAUGUUUAAAUAUUGUACUAAAGAGUAAUAUGAAUUGCAUCUCUUCUCAUGCCAAUAUGAUGAAAAAAAUUAUAUUUUAAAAUAUUAAUCAAGAUUUAUUUACUUUGAAUAUGAAUAAACAUAAACAUAAUAUGUCAUAUAAUUUAAAGCGGAAAGAGUAAUAUUUUAUUUUAAUACACUUUGUUAACUCUUUAUUCUUUAAAAAAUAUUCUUUUCUUCUUUCAAGUGGAUAAAUAUAUUCAAGUUUUUCCUUUCUGCUAAAUUUUGUGCCAAAAUAGUUAAAGAUUAUUUCAUAAUUAUAUUUAUAACUAAUCUUUUUGGAUAAACAAUUAGAAAUGUAUUAAUUGUUUGUAUUAUUUUACAGGGAGUUAAAACAGGUUUUGCACUUGGGGACAGAUACCGGGGGAUGGUUCUGCUAAUUGUUAAUAUUCCUCAGAUGGGGUAUAUAUCUCUAAUUCAUAAUAAAAAAAUAAUUCCUCCGUUUGAAUUUAAUUGUCUAAUUUUAAUUUGAUAUAAAAUUUUAAAAAAUAAUAAUUUAUAGGUGAUAGUGACAUGUCACAAUAAAUUUUAAAAUGAGAAAAAAUAUCAAAAUAAAUAAAUAAAUGUAAUUAGAGGUGAUAGUAACUUGUCACAUCACCUUAUCUAUAUAUAAUUUUAUAUUAUAAACAAUAUAUAUAGAUUUUUUUUGAAUAUUGAUUUCACAACUUUCAGUAUGCACAAAGUUAGUAAUUAAUCAUAAGAAAGUUUAUAUCCAUUAUUCAUAGGAACUUAUACUGUAUCAUUUCAUUUAUAAUCAUUUAUUUAAAUUUUUGAUUUAAUUAUAUUGAUAUUAUUUUAAAAAAUAAUGUACUACAUGAUUUAGUGUUUUCUUUGUUUAUUAAAAAAAUAAACAAUAAAAUAAGUAGCAACUUUCCUCCACGGGAAUUAAAUCUAGGUGUUUUCUUUGUUUAUUAAAAAAAUAAACAAUAAAAUUAGGUGUUUUCUUUGUUUAUUAAAAAAAUAAACAAUAAAAUAAGUAGCAACUUUCCUCCACGGGAAUUAAAUCAUUGUUCUAUAAACAAUGUUGUUUGUCUGAAUUUAUGUAUAAUCAAAUCAUUCUAUAAACAGUGUUAUUUGUCUGAAUAUUUAUUGUACGUUAUAGCGAGAUGUUAUUCUAGCUAAAGAACAUAAUAUAUAUAUAUAUAUAUAUAUAUAUAUAUAUAUAUAUAGAGAUACUGUAUAUAUAUAUAUAUAUAUAUAUAUAUAUAUAAUGAAAUACUGUUAUAAAAAAUUGAUUAAAGCUAUAUAAUUUCAUUUUUUUUUUUUCAUUGUUAUAUAUAUAUUCACAAUUUUCCUUCCUUUUUUUAGUUCUAUAUGGGCAGAAAAGGAGAUCAAGUUUCUCAAUGAUUUGCGUAAAUUGUAUGAAGGCAAAAUAUCCUCCCCAUUUGAGAAGGGUAUAUCAUUUUUUUUACUUCUCUUUAAUUAUUGUUUCCUUCUAUUUAUUUUUUCUUCGGAAAAUAACAUAUUUUCAGCUUACUUAGGACAUGAUUAUAUAUAAAAAGUUACGGAGGUCGUGAAUUAGGAGGAUUGAUUAGAGUAUAUAUAUGUUUUCUCCUUUUAUUUAGUAGUAUUAGCAUCAAUCUUGCAGCUUCUAGUCCCUCAAUUUCUGUUACUACAUAUAUUAUUUAUUGUGUUUCAUUAUUAUUUUAUUUUAUUAUAGUUAUUGUUUCUUUUCUUUGUAUACUCUAGAAUGUUUCCUUAUUUUGCAAUGUUUUCAUUACUUCUAUAUGAUAUGUGUUGAUUGAGUCGAUGGUCUUUCAGUAACACAACCUCUUUAUCUACCUUCGUGAGAUUGAGGUAAAAUACACGUACAUUACAUCAUUUACAAGCCUCACUUAUAUAGAAUUCUGAUAGUCAUACUCAAUUAAUAAAAACAUAUACUAAUAAGCAUUUAGAUAGUUAUUCUCAACUAGUUUGAAACUAAAACGUAUUGUUAUAGUAGUAAUAUUUGCUUGAAUUUUUAUUUAUUUAUAAUUUCCAAUUGUCAUUCAAUUACCCAAAUAUUGUUUUUUCUUUUUAUUGGUGUGAACAUAUUUCACCUCCUUUUUUUUUUAUAUAGGAUUUGAGGUUCUAGGAUUUUUUUAUGACAUGGAAAAUCAUGAUCAUAAAAAAUCCUGGUUUUGGCGAGAAAAUCCUGAAAUUGAAGCAGAAAAAGAAAGAAUUCGUAGACUUGCCAAUUUUCCAAUUUUCGAAAAGGUAUAAUCAUAUGAUAUUCAAUAUUUAUUGAUUUGACUAAUUUAGUGUGUUCAACAUAAAAUUCAAAUCUAUUAAAAGAGGAAAACUCAUUAUCGAAGACAUUUCUUAUUCAUAUAUAACUCGAACUCGAAAUAUUUUAAUUAUAACUUCAACUUUCAUACCUUUUUUUUAUAAAAAAAAAAAAGAAGUUCCACUAUAUAUAUGCACUUAAUACAUAUGCGGCAAAUAUUUAAACAUUAUUAAAUUUUACACUCCGCAGAUGAAUAUUAUUUACACUCUCAACUUUAUUUUACAUCCCCUCCCUACCCCUUCUUAUCUUAUGCAAUGUCUAUUUUACCCUUAAUAUUUUCAAAACACAUACACAACCUCUCAAACUUGCUCUCAUUUUUCAUUUUGACACUCCAACUUAGCCUUGUUCCAUUUUAACCCUUAAACUCCAUUUUUUCUUUACCAUUUAAACACUUAUACUAAUUUUUUUGAUUUGUUUUUAUUUAUGUUCUUCAAUUGCAAUUUCUUAUUUUUAUACACCAAACACAUAUAGACGUGUACCUGUUAAUUAAAAAAAUUAAACAUUUGCGAACGAAUUUAAAAAUUUUCAAAUAAUAAUAUUAUUUUUUUAUAUUUCUCUGUAUUUUUGCAUGAAAAUAAAUUGACGAAAGUUCUUUGAUUUUCUUUCUUAAACAUUCAAUUAAAUUAAAUAACACUACUUAUUUAUUUUUUCUUAUCAUCUAGGCUAUCUAAAUUUAACGCAAAUACUCACUUUUAAUUUUUAAUAUAAAUCAAUACGAAUAAAAAAACCCAUCUUCAAAAAGGCUCUAUUGACUUAGUUAAUAACACUACUAAAAAAAGACUCUUGUUCAUUGCUAAUAACACUACUAAACAAUGUUAAAACUCGACUGACUUUGUUAGGUUGUCAGUGAUUUUAAAGAAAGAAAAUUCGUCGGUUAUUUUUCACACAAAAAUACAUAACACUCUUAAAAAGAAAUUAUUAUUUUUUAAAAAGAAUUAUUUUUUGUUAAUUUUUAAUUUUUUUAACUAACUAACACGUGUCGAUUUAAAAUAAGAAGUUGCAAUUGAAGAAUAUAUAUAAAGAAAUCAUAAAAAUAGUAUUUCGUGUUAAAAUGGUACAUAAAAAAUAGAGUUUAAGGGUUAAAAUGGAACAAGGCUAAGAUAAAGUGUCAAAAUGAAAAUUACGGACAAGUUAGAGGGGUUGUAUAUUGUUUGGCCAAAAAAUAAUAUGUAUAUUAUAUAUCAUAUAAAAAAUAUUUUUCGACCUAGGCAGUUUAGAUUUUUACCUAAGUUCAUAAAUAUUAUAAGUAGAAUAACCCUUUUACGAAUUUGUUGCAAAUUCUAACAUUAAUUUUUAUGAUUAUUAUUUUAAUAUUACAUGCAUUAAGAAUGUAUGUAUGUGCAUGCAUACUUGUGUGUAUAUUUAAGCUUCAUAGGAGAAUUGAUUUAGUAGGUUACUUAUAAUUUUUAAUUGGCCAAACACAUAUAUACAAACACUUAAACUUGUCCCUAAAUUUCAUUUUGACACUCCAACUCAGCCUUGUUCCAUUUUAACCCUUCAAUUCCAUUUUUUAUGUUCCAUUUUGACACUUAUUUUUUUAUAAGUGAUUAAAAAAGAUCUUAAUUCCUCAAAAAUAAAUAAAUUAUUUAUUUGAACAUUGAUGUCAUAUUUUACUUAUUUAACAGGUUGAAGUGAAUGACGAUCAUCAUGACAAUCUUUGGAGAUUUAUGAGGACAUCAAGAGGUAUCACAAAAAUCGGGGAAGAAUUUGAAAAAUUUCUAAUAGACGGAAAUGGAAUACCUAUAGAACACUUUUUUCGAUACGAUGGAGAAACACUAGAACCUCAACCCGUGAGACCAGGAGAAUACCCCGGUGAAUCAUUCACGUCAAAAGAAACCAACAUCAUAAAGGUACGUAUUUAUUUACUUUAUUAUUGAGUGGAGUAUUAUUAAUGUCAAAUCAAUAGAUAUUGAAUACAACUAAUUAAUUUAUUAUUAUUAAUGUCAAAGUUGACUUUUCUUUUUUCACCUAUUCACAGGCUACCAUUGAUGGAUUUCAUUGGAAGACACAAUCUCAAUAAUUAUUAAAUAUCUUACAUCAAAGUUAAUACUCAUAUUGUGUGCAACAUUUUACUUCGUAAAAGUAUUGUAAUACUUGAGAUUAUAAUAGUUAUAAAUAAAUAUUGUUGCUUGUUGUUUUACGUAUUUAUUCUUAUGUUUUACCUAAGCAUUGAAUCUUGAAAUUUUGAGAUUCAAACUUCUAAAUCUUGUCAGACAUAGAAGUUUUAAGAUUUUCAAAAUAAAAAUUUAUAUACUUGAAAACAAUAUGAAAAAAUACUAUAAAUCAUAAGUAAUAAUUAAUGACUUAAAAUACAUAUAAAGCGUGUAUAAAGAAAUUUAGGUAAAUAAAAACAAUGUGAUUGUCAUUCGAAAUUUCAAUUAUGUCAUAUAAAUUAGGAUGAAAAUUAUACACUCUAUAUGCAAUUACCCGCACCGAAUGUAUACACCAAACUAAUGCAAUUUUCAUUAUUACGUAAUUUAAUGAAGUAAAACACAUGUUAAUUCAUUAUGGUUAAGUAAAAUAAACUAUAAAUUUAAACACAUGACAUGCAUGUAUUGACUUUUGUGUAUACACCCGGUGCGGGUAAAUUUUACCCUACAAUGUAUCCACCUUAUAUGAGGAUGUAUAUGAAUGUAUAAGAGGUUCUUAUAGACAUUUUUUUGGGUUUCAGAAAUAGCCAUUAUAAUAAAUUUAAGAGCAACUUUCACAUAUAGCAAACAUAAAAAUUAUAUUUGUAUGUUAUAGCUAUAGUUUGCAUAAUUGCGCUCCAUAGCAAAUUUUAUGGUUACUAUUGAGCUUUUGAUUUGUAUAAUUCACUAGAUACAUCCAAUUUUAUAUAAAUUGUUCAGUUUUGUAUAAAUUCAUUUAUACAUUGUAAUUUGUAUAAUAAAAUCUGUAUUUGUAUAAUUAUAAGUGUAUAAGACGAAAAUAUAUGUAUUUGUAUUUGUAUAUACACUUUUCUCUCGCUUUAUACAAACACAAACGCGUUUUAUACAUUUUAUACUGAAAUGUAUAAAAUGGCUAAUUGUAUACCGAAUCAGAUGGCAAAAAAAUGGGAUGUUUGCUGCGAAUUACAAAUAAAAUAAACUAUAGCUAUAACAUUUAAUUUGAAUUAAUAAUUUGCUAUUUCAUAUAAUUUUUCCUAAAUUUAAUUAUGCUCCAUAGGUAUAGUUGCAUAUUUACGGGUUGUAGCUAUAGUUAAAACUGUAUCGUUUGUAUAAUUCGCGGGUACAUUUGUAUAAUUGAGGCUUGAACUAUUUUUGUAUAAACUCAAAAUAACGAAUUUAUACAAACACAAACAUCUGAACUUUAAACAAUUAUACAAAUUAUACAAACUCAAAAUAUCAGCCCACAUAAUUAUCACUGAAUGUUAGUUGUGAGUGGUAAUUAACUAAUUUUUUUUUUAGCCCGUCUAAAAAAACACAUAACCGAAAAAAUAAAUAAGAGUUGAGGGGUAUUUUUUACUUUUUUUUUUUUUUUUUUUUUUUUUUUCUUUUUUUUUUUUUUUUAUAUUUUUUUUUUUUUUUUUUAUAUUUUUUUUUUUUUUUAUAUUUUUUUUUUUUUUUUAUAUUUUUUUUUUUUUUUUAUAUUUUUUUUUUUUUUUCUUUUUUUUUUUUUUUCUUUUUUUUUUUUUUUUAUAUUUUUUUUUUUUUUUCUUUUUUUUUUUUUUUUAUAUUUUUUUUUUUUUUUCUUUUUUUUUUUUUUUUCUUUUUUUUUUUUUUUUAUAUUUUUUUUUUUUUUUUUCUUUUUUUUUUUUUUUUUUUCUUUUUUUUUUUUUUUAUAUUUUUUUUUUUUU